CGUGUUCCCCGUUAUGUGUACUGUAAAUCGAAAAACGUCAGUGUCCAACCGCCCGCUGCGGGGCGCGCGAGGUUCGCGAGCUCGCGGCAAACGCCGCUGCGGGGUAUCGGGCGAGCGGGGGGAGAGCCUGCCCCUAUUGCUUCGUGACGAACUCAGCAAGAAUGAUGCAGUCGUAUUUCUACAGCUUAUACACACAGCUAUCAAUUGUUGUUUUGCAUAUGUGGAGAGAAUGUAAUAUGACAUCCUCACGUUGAGCAUUGCUAUGUCCCAUCUGCUCCAGAACAGUCAACAAUACAGAAUGAGAUUUUGGCAGGAUCUAUUUCUGAGGUGCUAGUUCCUUUUUUGAUAGGCUGUGAGCUGAUGUCCCUAUUAGCAAGAUUUACCCCCACAUCAUGAGAAGAGAAGACUCCCUGGAAAAGACCCUGAUGUUGGGAAAGAUGGAGGGCACAAGGAGAAGGGGACGACA
Podarcis muralis (Common wall lizard) is the source of this 466-nucleotide non-coding RNA. NCBI's taxonomy places the organism in Eukaryota, Metazoa, Chordata, Lepidosauria, Squamata, Lacertidae. The record is from RefSeq and is a predicted model, not a curated record.